Long non-coding RNA from Mobula hypostoma (lesser devil ray), 1512 nucleotides. RefSeq lists it as uncharacterized. Lineage: Eukaryota; Metazoa; Chordata; Chondrichthyes; Myliobatiformes; Myliobatidae. The record is from RefSeq and is a predicted model, not a curated record. The transcript is spliced from 3 exons.
AGCGGUCAGGUCUCUGGCACUGAGUGGCUCUGCCAACCAGAAGAAAAUGGGGAGAGAGGAGACGAAUUGUGGUGAUCGGGAAUUCGUUUGUUAGGGGAACAGAACGGUGGCUCUGUGGAUGAGAACAAGAUUACCAGAUGAGUUUUCCUCCUCCUAGGCAGGCUGCUGUCCAAGGCUGAUGAGCCUCAUCUGCCCAAAAAGCUUCCAUCACUCCACCGCUGGCGUUCCUACUCUCAGACCCUGGUUAGAUCCCAAGUCCUGGAAUUCCAUCCAUUAACCAUACCGCUUCUGCAUCCUCUGGAAACUGAUUCUCUUUAUCUUCUGAGCAUCUCGAGAACAGUAUCACUGGGUCCCUCCUGUAACUAAUAAAGUGGCCGCAGAGUGUAUGUUCAUGGUCUUCUGCUGCUGUAGCCCGUCCACUUCAAGCUUUGACGUGUUAUACAUUCAGAGAUGCUCUUCUGCACACUGCUGUUGUAACGUGGUUAUCUUAGUUACUGUCACCUUCCUGUCAGCUUGAACCAGUCUGCAAGUCUCCUCUACCUCUCUCAUUAACAAGGUGUUCCUCUCACAGAACCUGGCACCAUUCUCUGUAAACUUUAGAGAUUGUUGUGCAUGAAAAUCUGAGAAGAUCAGCAUUUUCUGAGACACUCUGUCCCGUCUGACAGCAACAAUCAUUCCAUAUUUAAAGGUACUUGGAUCACAUUCCUUCCCCAUUCUGAUCUUUGAUCUGAACAACUGAAUUUUUUGACCAUGUGUGCAUGCAUUUUAAACUAGAGUUGCAGAGGAUGGGAACCAGUGGGCCAGAACAGUUCAUGGAGAGGUGCUGGAGACAGAUGUUAUAAGACCUCAGACAAUGACAGAAACAAAGUAAGUUCUGAGAUAUGAAACUUUUAUGUGCCUGUUAUAAAGCAGGGAGGAGGAGAUGGCGACACGACGCAGCACGCGUGGCCGUUCCGAAUGAAUAUCGAAUGUGUUAACUAGGGAGCCAUGCACAAUCCGGAUUUGAUGAAGGUAGCUGUGAGAAGCACAGAGGAACAUCUGGGGUAACUUUUGAAAUGCCUGCUUCGCUGCCGCUGCUACUGUGCGAUCGAGAAUCUCCGGAGACGAAGGCCCCAAAUCCUCGGCUUUGUGUAUCGCCUGUUGCCGGGGCCAGGGUCAAAACGCUCGGCAGAGAUGGUGCUCGGUGUCAAAGAGGUGGUCGAAGGCUAGGAGUUUUCGGAUGGACUCGGAGUCGGACUGUGGUCGGAUGCUUCCAAGAUGCUGCACCAGCAAGCUUGCGGCGCUGGAGGUUUACCGUCUGCAUGAGAUGAUGGGACUUUCAAGAGACUCUGAGACUUUUACUGAGCCAUGGUCUGUUCUUAUCAAAUUACGGUAUUGCUUUGCACUGUUGUAACUAUAUGUUAUAAUUAUGUGGUUUUUUUUAGUUUUUAAGUCGGUUUGUCAUGUGUUUUCGUGAUAUCAUUCUGAAAAAACAUUUAAUCAUUUCUUAAUGCAUGCAUUACUAAAUGACAA